GAUGAACGCUGGCGGCGUGCCUAAUACAUGCAAGUCGAGCGAACGGACGAGAAUCUUGCUUCUCUGAUGUUAGCGGCGGACGGGUGAGUAACACGUGGAUAACCUACCUAUAAGACUGGGAUAACUUCGGGAAACCGUAGCUAAUACCGGCUAAUAUUUUGAACCGCAUGGUUCAAAAGUGAAAGACGGUCUUGCUGUCACUUAUAGAUGGAUCCGCGCUGCAUUAGCUAGUUGGUAAGGUAACGGCUUACCAAGGCAACGAUGCAUAGCCGACCUGAGAGGGUGAUCGGCCACACUGGAACUGAGACACGGUACAGACUCCUACGGGAGGCAGCAGUGGGGAAUCUUCCGCAAUGGGCGAAAGCCUGACGGAGCAACGCCGCGUGAGUGAUGAAGGUCUUCGGAUCGUGAAACUCUGUUAUUAGGGAAGAACAUAUGUGUAAGUAACUGUGCACAUCUUGACGGUACCUAAUCAGAAAGCCACGGCUAACUACGUG
Molecule: ribosomal RNA, 497 nt
Filed under: uncultured bacterium
Lineage: Bacteria
Description: partial 16S ribosomal RNA
Rfam family: Bacterial small subunit ribosomal RNA
Source: RNAcentral